AGGGUUUUUAUGGUUUUAGGUCUAACAUUUAAGUCUUUAAUCCAUCUAGAAUUAAUUUUUGCAUAAGGUGUAAGGAAGGGAUCCAUGUCAGCUUUCUACAUAUGGCUACACGGCUGGCUAAUUUUGUAUUUUUAGUAGAGACGGUGUUUCUCCAUAUUGGUCAGGCUGGUCUUGAACUCCUGACCUCAGGCGAUCUGCCUGCCUCGGCCUCCCAAAGUCCUGGAUUACAAUUGUGAGCCACCGCAUCUGGCUGCCACCAUUCUAAAUAAUGUCUACUUUGCUUUAUCUUGAUUUAUCAGUUUUUGACUUUAUUCAUUGAUUUCCAAAUGAGUGAUGAAUUUUCUUUUUACCACCACUCCCACCUUCCCCCUUCUCCUAAUAUAUUUUGUCACUAUUUUUAUUAAAUGUUUACAGCGUGCACACUAUUGUGAUUAUGUAAUUAUUAUUCAUAGCUGAGACACAUAGUAUAUGAUGAUUACACUUUCAUUCUUUUAUAACUUUUCGUUUUUCCUGUAACUUUUUUUAAAAAUAGAGAUGGGGGCCGGGGGUGGGUCGGGGGGAUCUUAUUGUGUUGCCCAGGCUGGUCUCAAACUCCUGGCCUCAACCAAUCCUCCCACCUCAGCCUCCCAAAGUGCUGGAAUUACAGGUGUGAGCCACCACACCAAGCCUGUUUAACCUGCCUCAUUUUCUUCAUUUCUUUACUUUUUAAAUACAUACCUAUUGCUAUUUUUAUUAAAAAAUGCAUCUGCGGAUGUCUUUUUUUUUUUUUUUUUUUUUUGGUGAGUUGGAGUCUCGCUCUGUCACCCAGGCUAGAGUGUAGUGAUCAUGGCUCACUGCAGCCUUGACCUCCUGGACUCAAGCAAUCCUCCCAGCUCAGCCUCCCAAGUAGCUGGGAUUACAGGUGCACACCAUCAUGCCCAGCUAAUUUUAUUAUUUUUUGUAGAAAUGAGGUCUCACUGUGAUCAGCUCAGACUGGUCUCGAACUCCUAGACUCAAGUGAUCCUCGCACCUCAGCCUCUCAAAGUGCAAGGAUUACAGGCUUGAGCCAUCACACAGGCCCUAAAGAAAAUCUUUAUUUUAUCCUGACACUUGAUUAGUGUGUUUGGCCAAGUUGAGAAUGAGGGAAAUAGGAAUCUGAUGGGAAGUUCUCUAUUUAUAUAUGAAGGACUUAUUAAUUGCUUGGUUUUUCCUGCAAAAUGAUCAAGGGGAAACUUGCCUUUUCCUUUGAUGACUCCCAAAAUGAGAGUGUGUGGGAUCAUUUAUCUGAGACAACUCAGUUUUUCUAGAGAAGAACCUACAAUCUCCUGUCUGGGCACAAACUUUCUGGGAGUAGGAGAAAUGAAGGGGACUGGAAGUCUUUGUGUUUUUUUGUUUGUUUGUUUGUUUAUUGAGACAGAGUCUGGCUCUGUUGCCCAGGCUGGAGUGCAGUGACACAAUCCUUUUUUAUUUUUUAUUUUUUUUUGAGACGGAGUCUCGCUUUGUCACCCAGGCUGGAGUACAGUGGCGCCAGUGGCGCAAUCUUGACUCACUGCAACCUCUCCCUCCCGGGCUUAAGUGAUCCUCCCACCUCAACCUCCCAAGUACCUGGGACUACAGGUGCGCCGCCAUGCCCAGGUAAUUUUUAAAUUUUUUUUAGAGACAAGGUCUCACCAUGUUGCCCAGGCUGGUCUUGAACUCCUGGGCUCAAGCGAUCCUCCCGCCUCAGCCUCCCUAAGUGCUGGGAUUACAGGUGUGAGCCACUGCACCCAGCCUUAUUAUGCAGACUUUCAAUAAAAGUUCUUAGUUCUGAGUCUUAUCUCAAUUCCCUGCCAUGCCUGGGGUACCUAAAUCUGGAGCUUCUUAGGUUCAAUUUUUCCAGACUUCAAAUUUAACUACACAGGUGAGGGUUCUAGGGAACCAAGUGAUAGACAGUGAUCUGUUCUCUUUUUACCAGAUAGAUCACCCUAUUUUAUCCCUUAAUGACAAAAGGACUUUCUAUAAUGUCUCAAACAUAGGGUUGCCAGAUUUAAUAAGUAAAAAUACAAAAUGUCUGGUUAAAUUUGAAUUUCAGAUUUUCAGAUGAACAAUGCAAUAUGUCGGAUAUACUUAUACUAAAAGUAAUUUGUUUCUUUGAAAUUCAUAUUUGACCAAUAGCCUUUAUUUAUUUAUUUAUUUAUUUAUUUAUUUUGAGAUGGAGUCUCACUCUGUUACGCAGGCUGGAGUACAGUGAUGUGAUCUCGGGUCACUGCAACCUCUGUCUCCCGGGUUCAAGUGAUUCUCCUGCCUCAGCCCCCUGAGUAGCUGGGACUAUAGGCGCACACCACCACGCCCAGCUAAUUUUUGUUAUUUUUAGUAGAGAACACUGUUUCACUGUGUUGGCCAGGCUAGUGUCAAACUCUUGACCUCAGGUUAUCCACCCGCCUUGGCCUCCCAAAGUGCUGGGAUUACAGGUGUGAGCCACUACACCCGUCCCACUGUUCUAAUUUCUAUCACCAUAGUGUACUCUAGCCUGUUCUCAAACCUCAUAUACCUAGGCUUAUAGAUUGUACUCUUGUACCUGGCUUCUCUCAUUUAAUAUAAUUAGUUUAGUUUAGUUUAGUUUGUGUGAGUGUGUGUGUGUGUGUGUGUGUGUGUGUAACUAAGGGGAAAUGCAUGUAACAUAAAAGAAAUUGUUGUAAAGUGAAAAAUUCGGUGGCAUUUAGUACAUUUGCAAUUCGGCACAACCACCACUUCUGUCUAGUUCCAAAACAUUUUCAUUACCCGCAAAGGAGUCCUCAUUCCUGUGAAGCACUCAGCAUUCUCCCCACCCCCAGCACCUGGCAACCACUAAUCUGCUGUCUGUCUAACCUUUUCUUUUUAUGGUUCAUCAGUUCUUUACUGUCUGGUAAAAUCCCACAAGCAGAGAAGGAUUAUUUUAAAAGGGCUCCAAGGAAGGAAAGCCAGGGGAACAAAAGCAGCACUAGGUAAAGUAAAAUUUGGCCAGAUGAUCAAGCCACAAAGAAGGAAAACAUUCCUAACCCCAAGAUAGAGUCUACUCUUCAUCUUGGGCAGAAGGUUCCUGUUCAAACCAGUCUUGAAGGCUGCCCUGAUGCUAUCUACGUGAGCAGUGUUUAAUUUCUGUCAACAAAGCACAAUUCAGUGGCAAUGUUGAAAGAGAAAAAGCCACACAGCUGGCUCUCUCUGCAAAUGACAUUGACAUAAAGACCAAAGUAAAUGUUAGCAUCCUGGAAACAGCAGCAGGUGUCUUAAGUGGAACAGCAGCUACUGGGGAGAACUGUGGCCACCUGCUAAGUAGCAUCUACUCAGAAUUCACUUGAAACAAUUAUAAAAGUUAUAAUUUCAGACUUCUGGAUGCAUUUGAUCAUGCAUUUUUUUGCUGUGUCUUUCUUUGCAUUGCUGGGGAUUGCUGGACAAUUUCUGAUGUUUUCUAGAGAGGUUCUUGCCCACCACCAUAUGCUUAGCACCCAGUACCUAGUGUGAUGCUUGCCACAUAGUAGGUGAACAAUAAACAUUUUUUGGGGUGAAUGAAUGAAUGAGCAAACCAUCUGGGGCACUGACUCGAAAAGUGGAAUCAUAAAAUCACUGCAGUUUAGACUUAAGAGGAGAAGGAGAAGGAAAAACAAGCUAAUAAAUGAACUCCCGGGCGGGCAAGGUGACUUACACCUGUAAUCCUAGCACUUUGUGAGGCCGAGGCAGGUGGAUCACUUGAGGCCAGGAGUUUGAGACCAGCCUGGCCAACAGGGCGAAACUCUGUCUCUACUAAAAAUACAAAAAUUAGCUGGGCAUGGUGGCAGGCGCCUGUAAUCCCAGCUACUCGGGAGGCUGAGGUGCAAGAAUCAUUUGAAUCAGGGAGGUGGAGGCUGCAGUGAGCCGAGAUUGCACCACUGCACUCCAGUCUGGGCGACAGAGCAAGACUCUGUUUCAAAACAAACAAACAAACCAAAAAACCCCAAAAAAACAAAAAACCAAGAACUCCCACAAGGGACUAUGCAAGGUGGUUUACAUGCAUGACUCCCUUUAAUCUUCACAAUUACCUUCAAAGUUAUCAUGAUGCCAGUUUUACAGAUG
This 4047-nucleotide long non-coding RNA is filed under the name Homo sapiens (human). RNAcentral describes it as "HSALNT0276701". The record is from RNAcentral. Lineage: Eukaryota; Metazoa; Chordata; Mammalia; Primates; Hominidae.